UACGUAGGGUGCAAGCGUUUGUCCGGAAUUUAUUGGGCGUAAAGAGCUCGUAGGCGGUCUGUCGCGUCGGCUGUGAAAACCCGGAGCUCAACUCCGGGCCUGCAGUCGAUACGGGGCAGACUGGGAGUUCGGCAGGGGGAGACUGGAAUUCCUGGUGUAGCGGUGAAAUGCGCAGAUAUCAGGAGGAACACCGGUGGCGAAGGCGGGUCUCUGGGCCGAUACUGACGU
RNAcentral lists this ribosomal RNA (228 nucleotides) under uncultured bacterium. RNAcentral's name for it is "partial 16S ribosomal RNA". It matches the Rfam family "Bacterial small subunit ribosomal RNA", at positions 524 to 746 of the family's 1533-position model. The record is from RNAcentral.